CGCCAGACUCCUACGGGAGGCAGCAGUGGGGAAUAUUGCACAAUGGGGGGAACCCUGAUGCAGCGACGCCGCGUGGGUGAAGGAGCACCUCGGUGCGUAAAGCCCUCUCGGCAGGGAAGAAACAGACGGUACCUGACUAAGAAGCCACGGCUAACUACGUGCCAGCAGCCGCGGUAAUACGUAGGUGGCAAGCGUUAUCCGGAUUUACUGGGUGUAAAGGGCGUGUAGGCGGGGACGCAAGUCAGAUGUGAAAACCACGGGCUCAACCUGUGGCCUGCAUUUGAAACUGUGUUUCUUGAGUACUGGAGAGGCAGACGGAAUUCCUUGUGUAGCGGUGAAAUGCGUAGAUAUAAGGAGGAACACCAGUGGCGAAGGCGGUCUGCUGGACAGCAACUGACGGUGAGGCGCGAAAGCGUGGGGAGCAAACAGGAUUAGAUACCCCUGUAC
RNAcentral lists this ribosomal RNA (447 nucleotides) under uncultured bacterium. RNAcentral describes it as "bacterial SSU rRNA". It matches the Rfam family "Bacterial small subunit ribosomal RNA", at positions 329 to 793 of the family's 1533-position model. The record is from RNAcentral.